Molecule: long non-coding RNA, 290 nt
Organism: Strongylocentrotus purpuratus (purple sea urchin)
Lineage: Eukaryota; Metazoa; Echinodermata; Echinoidea; Camarodonta; Strongylocentrotidae
Exons: 3
Source: RefSeq, a predicted model, not a curated record
UAGCAAGCUACCCAUUUAGAUCCUCAAGAGCAUCACACACCUCUAGAACGGACAGAAGUUCUAAACCUGGAGUGGAGUAAUAGUUUAAGUUCACAUGCUACUUCGAUGAUAAUGGCCAUGGUUGCUUUGGGCCUUCUUCCACCGCUGGUGGUGUUGGUUACUAUGGCAUCACUGGUCACACCUAUUCACGGUUCAUGCUCGUCAGGGGACUCUUCCUAUGCAACUACUAUGUCUUACAGUCAAUCCUACAGUCAGAGGUACACAACCCGUUGCGGCUUCUUAAACUUGCA